This 214-nucleotide long non-coding RNA is filed under the name Sus scrofa (pig). Its description in RNAcentral is "lncRNA (ENSSSCG00040026862.1, ENSSSCG00060053659.1)". The record is from RNAcentral. Lineage: Eukaryota; Metazoa; Chordata; Mammalia; Artiodactyla; Suidae.
ACCAGAAGCCCACCUUCAGCUUGCACUGUUCAGGCAAGAGAAUCUUCUCCUUUAGGAAACCUUCCCUAAGAUACUAGGAUCAGAUUUAUACUACAUCGUCUUUUUUUCUCACACUUCAAAAACAUGCUUCCUGUUGAAAAAAGGAAGAGACAGUCUAUGGGCGAAAGGAUGUUCUUCUUAGCAAGAGUGCAUGGUUGCCUUCCUUACAAUCACC